This 230-nucleotide long non-coding RNA is filed under the name Lathyrus oleraceus (garden pea). Its description in RNAcentral is "Pisum sativum (pea) long non-coding RNA (PSAT_LNC007540)". The record is from RNAcentral. Lineage: Eukaryota; Viridiplantae; Streptophyta; Magnoliopsida; Fabales; Fabaceae.
AGAAAUCUAUUAUUCACUACAUGUUACUAGGUAAGGAGAUAAUAAAGAUUUGACAGAGAGACCAUCCGUCAUCGGUUAGGAUGAACAUAUCAAGGAUGACUUGAUGGGAACCGCCAGGAAAGAAAAUUCAUUACCGGUUACUGGGUAAGAAUAGCCUUGCUAGGGAAAACUGCAGCAAAGCAUAGGAUUUACAACUACCAGUUACUGGGUAGAAGACCAAAGGGUGAGAG